RNAcentral lists this ribosomal RNA (490 nucleotides) under uncultured bacterium. Its description in RNAcentral is "partial 16S ribosomal RNA". It matches the Rfam family "Bacterial small subunit ribosomal RNA", at positions 30 to 507 of the family's 1533-position model. The record is from RNAcentral.
AUUGAACGCUGGCGGCAUGCCUUACACAUGCAAGUCGAACGGCAGCAUGAUCUAGCUUGCUAGAUUGAUGGCGAGUGGCGAACGUGUGAGUAAUACAUCGGAACGUGCCCUGUAGUGGGGGAUAACUAGUCGAAAGAUUAGCUAAUACCGCAUACGACCUGAGGGUGAAAGUGGGGGACCGCAAGGCCUCAUGCUAUAGGAGCGGCCGAUGUCUGAUUAGCUAGUUGGUGAGGUAAAGGCUCACCAAGGCGACGAUCAGUAGCUGGUCUGAGAGGACGAUCAGCCACACUGGGACUGAGACACGGCCCAGACUCCUACGGGAGGCAGCAGUGGGGAAUUUUGGACAAUGGGCGAAAGCCUGAUCCAGCAAUGCCGCGUGUGUGAAGAAGGCCUUCGGGUUGUAAAGCACUUUUGUCCGGAAAGAAAUGGCUCUGGUUAAUACCUGGGGUCGAUGACGGUACCGGAAGAAUAAGGACCGGCUAACUACGUG